GGUCUUUUACUGCUAGACCUAAAACAAGAAGACGUCAGGAGAUGGAGAACUCCUAUAAAAGCCUA
This 65-nucleotide non-coding RNA is filed under the name unclassified sequences. RNAcentral's name for it is "GP20-b RNA". It matches the Rfam family "GP20-b RNA". The record is from RNAcentral.